RNAcentral lists this unclassified non-coding RNA (1474 nucleotides) under Leishmania donovani. RNAcentral's name for it is "gene:LdHU3.36.2570(CDS-product:endochitinase_puta tive)". The record is from RNAcentral. Lineage: Eukaryota; Euglenozoa; Kinetoplastea; Trypanosomatida; Trypanosomatidae.
UCGCACUCACCCAUACACGCGCACGCGGCCUACGGAAGCGAAAUCGAAUAAAUACGCUGACACAAACGCGGCGGAACCAGGGAGCUUGUUAUAAUAUAUAUGUUUGAUUGCUUCGCUGCAGCCUCGAUUUGCAUAGCCCCCUCCCAUACCCCGGGAGUGGUGCCCCUCCAUUUUCUUAUGUGUUUUUUUUUUCAUAACUUGAUUUUAAGUUGUCAGCGUUGCCUCGCGCUGUCGUACUUCUUUUGAGCUGAAUUAGGGAUACCCACACGCACAAACUUCUAUUUUUUCAUACAUACGCUCUUACCCCUCCCCCCGCGUACCCCGCACACCCCCUCGCGCCACACAAGCCAACGGACAAAACGCCGCUUGACUCGUUGCACCCCACUUCCCCAUCGGCCCUCUCCCUUCUAUUCCUUUAUCGCUUAUCCUCUCUUUUUUUUCUGCUGAGGGUAUCUCUUGCCUGUCUUUGUGAACGGUGAGCUUGAGCGAGAAGGAUGGCGGCCUGUGCCGGAUUGCGACUCGGUGUGGUGCGUGUGCUCUUGGUUGUGGCGAUUGUGUGCGGCCUACGUGCCGCUGUCGUCACGGCUGAGGAGUCUUCGCUGUCGAGCCCUAUUGUGUGCACGUGUCGCUGCUGCUACCAGGGUGGGUGCAGCCCGCUCACGAAUGUGUCGUGGACCGUCAGCUCCUGCAACGAGUGCUCCACCAAGAUGUGCAAUGACUACAUCUCUAGCCAGCAGGUGCGCGCAGAUACGGCGCGCCUCUUCGAGGGAAUUCAGGGUGAAAAGCCCUUGAACGACACCGUUGUGGUGCAGGAGUGCGAGGUGAUUGCCGUGCUGGAGGCGGCCACGUGCACGACGAAGAGCUGCAAACGAACGUCAACCAUCAAGGCGGAGUGCUACGAUCGCAACGCACCUCUCAUCAAGUACUCCAUCAUUUCGUUUGUGCUGCUCACCAUUUUCGCUGUCAUCUUAGGUAUCAUCAAGAACUACAUCCCCGCCUUCCAGUCCCUGAAUGAGAAGUACUUCAACUACUGACAAGCAAUGAUGGGGUAAUCGUGGGGGUGUGCCCCUUGUGUGCGCGUGCGCUCGCCUGAGCACGUGCACUCGUGACACAGUCGCUAGCUUCUACGCUGAGUCAUCAUCUCCUUCGCCCGUGUCGGUGUCUGCGCGAUGGACUUUGCUGCAAUCGUGCACUCACGCACGCAUGGACGCAGUUGACGCGGACAUCUGCGCCCAUUCUGCGAUGCUGUCCUCCUCCCCCCGCUUCGCGCGUUACCGUCUUGUUGCCCACGGUUGCGUGGAUCCCGUUUGCUCGUUGAUCUUCCUUCCCUUCAGUGUGGCUAUACAGCUCGUCGCGACGCUCGAUGCUGUUUCUCCAUUCACCGCAGCUCUUCUUCACGCGGAUAGCCGCCAUAAAGAGUGAGGGUGUGCGUCGCCGUCCACCAGAGGCGGCAGAAGUACCCGAACGAGACUAG